AUGGCCGUUGGGCUGAGUAUAAAGGCUCUUUGUUGCGCUCACACAAAAGCAGCCGAGACCCGCUUUGCAGCAGGCCGUCUGAGCGCAUCGGAGGAACUCAACUGAAUUUCCAAAUGGCCCCCGUAGGCUGAGGCGGUGGGAGCAACGAAAAGGCAGAGGGAAUCCCAGGCCUGCCCGCCCUCAUUUCCAAAACCUCUGUCAAUCCCCGGGUGCUCGUCCUGGGAGGCCGGGGCUGCGCUCAUUCGGAAGGGAGGAAGCCAAGAGGAAAACCUCCUUUUACCAUGCAGGCCCACAGGGGGUAUUAAACAUUCACAUUCUUGUAGAGUUUCUUCCCUUCACUAGGGUAGAAACAGUAUCUGGAAAAGUUUGGAUACACCAAAAAGAAAAAGAAAAAAAAAAAAAGAAAGAAAAAAUAUCAACAAUAGCAACUUAAAAAAAAAAAAAACAUAACAAACCAGUUGCCAUCAGCCCAAAGUGGUAGUAGCAGCAGCCGGCGCGUGUGAUCCACUUACUUGUCCGACUCUUGUGACAUGUUUGAUCCAAUGAACUCGCUCCCCUUUUCCUGGAGCCUCAGCCUCUGGUGAAACUGGACUUUCAAGUCUGUGCAGGUGAAGGUGUGUGAGAGCGCCCGAGAUGGCAGAACAAGAGCUACAGAAAUACAGUGGAGACAAUUUUCAAAGAUUUUGUUGAUGAGAGAGAUGAAGAAAAGGGGAAAAUCUACUUUUGAUCAUGACAGAUUGAAAAGAGGCUUUCCAGAUAUUUGCAGUGCCAAAGGGCAAUUUGAUGUACCCUGCUUCACCAAGCCUCUACACACAAAUGGACAUUGAGAUUAUUUUCUGCCCUGAGUAUUUUAGUCAUUUGGUAAGUCUUGCCCCAUUUUAGCCUCAAAACAACAUUUGGAAGAGGCCAGGGCAAUAUUCUUGUACCCAUGAGUAAGAUGUGAGCCUGCUCCUCACUGUGUCUCCAGACACAAGCUGACCAUGUCAUCUGGCGGACAACUGCACCUAGAGACACUCAGCACGUCCCCUAGAGACAGUGACUGUCCCUGACUGGAGUGUGGCCAUGAAGCAAGAUUGAUUUAGCUGAGUUUUAUUUCCUUGUACUUGUGUGUUUUGAAGUCCCUUGUAUUCGUUUCAUCUCAUCUUUCAGAAAUUUUGUACUGCUUAUGUUAAGUUCCUGUAGCAGAAUUUGAUGUAAUCACAGCGAUCCUAUUUUAAAUGACCCAA
Molecule: long non-coding RNA, 1226 nt
Organism: Talpa occidentalis (Iberian mole)
Lineage: Eukaryota; Metazoa; Chordata; Mammalia; Eulipotyphla; Talpidae
Exons: 3
Source: RefSeq, a predicted model, not a curated record